RNAcentral lists this ribosomal RNA (279 nucleotides) under uncultured bacterium. Its description in RNAcentral is "partial 16S ribosomal RNA". It matches the Rfam family "Bacterial small subunit ribosomal RNA", at positions 506 to 784 of the family's 1533-position model. The record is from RNAcentral.
UGCCAGCAGCCGCGGUAAUACGGAGGGUCCAAGCGUUAUCCGGAAUCACUGGGCAUAAAGCGCGCGUAGGCGGUCCGCUAAGUUGGAUGUGAAAGCCCCCGGCCCAACCGGGGAACUGCGUUCAAUACUGGUGGACUUGAGAAUCAGAGAGGUAUGUGGAAUUCCUGGUGGAGCGGUGAAAUGCGUUGAUAUCAGGAGGAACACCGGAGGCGAAGGCGACAUACUGGCUGACUUCUGACGCUAAAGUGCGAAAGCAUGGGGAGCAAACCGGAUUAGAUA